This 443-nucleotide long non-coding RNA is filed under the name Sorghum bicolor (sorghum). RNAcentral describes it as "long non-coding RNA (SBIC_LNC007548)". Lineage: Eukaryota; Viridiplantae; Streptophyta; Magnoliopsida; Poales; Poaceae. The record is from RNAcentral.
AGACUUUUGGAACCUGGCGCGGGCUCCACGACCACCGAACUUCUUGGGCUCGCAGCGCCUGGGGUCGGCGACGAGGAGUGUGCGGUCGUAGCGAGAGAAGAUGUCCUUGACCUCCUUCUUGGCGGCCUCGUCGACGUACUUCUGGUAGUAGGCGACGAGCCCCUUGGCGACGGCCUGGCGGAUGGCGUAGAUCUGCGACGUCUUCCCGCCGCCGCGGACGCGGAUCCGCAUGUCGAUGUCCUUGAACCUCGACCGGCCGGCCAGCAGGAUGGGCUCGAAGGCCUUGAGGCGGAGCAUCUCCGGGCGGAUCAGCUCGAUCGGGACGCCGUUCACCUUGAUCAGCCCGCGCCCCGGCUUCGUGUACGCCACGGCCACGGCGGUCUUCUUCCGCCCGAAGCACUGGACCGUGCCCGGGGUAGGGCGGCUCAGCACGGACAUGGUUG